This 498-nucleotide ribosomal RNA is filed under the name uncultured Glomeromycotina. Its description in RNAcentral is "partial small subunit ribosomal RNA". It matches the Rfam family "Eukaryotic small subunit ribosomal RNA", at positions 591 to 1092 of the family's 1831-position model. Lineage: Eukaryota; Fungi; Glomeromycota. The record is from RNAcentral.
CCAAUAGCGUAUAUUAAAGUUGUUGCAGUUAAAAAGCUCGUAGUUGAAUUUCGGGAUUCUACCGUCGGUCGGGCUAACAAGUCUGUACUGGUGUGUAGAAUUUCUACCUUCUGGGGAACUAUCAUGUUAUUAAUUUAGCGUGGUGGGAAACCAGGACCUUUACCUUGAAAAAAUUAGAGUGUUCAAAGCAGGCUUACGUCUGAAUACAUUAGCAUGGAAUAAUAGAAUAGGACGGUGGUCCUGUUUUGUUGGUUUCUGAAUCACCGUAAUGAUUAAUAGGGAUAGUUGGGGGCAUUAGUAUUCAAUUGUCAGAGGUGAAAUUCUUGGAUUUAUUGAAGACUAACUUCUGCGAAAGCAUUUGCCAAGGAUGUUUUCAUUAAUCAAGAACGAAAGUUAGGGGAUCGAAGACGAUCAGAUACCGUCGUAGUCUUAACCAUAAACUAUGCCGACUAGGGAUCGGACGAUGUUAACCUUUAUUGACUCGUUCGGCGCCUUACG